This 252-nucleotide ribosomal RNA is filed under the name uncultured bacterium. RNAcentral describes it as "partial 16S ribosomal RNA". It matches the Rfam family "Bacterial small subunit ribosomal RNA", at positions 524 to 776 of the family's 1533-position model. The record is from RNAcentral.
UACAGAGGGGGCAAGCGUUGUUCGGAAUUACUGGCGUAAAGGGCGCGUAGGCGGCCUGUUAAGUCGGACGUGAAAUCCCCGGGCUCAACCCGGGAACUGCGUCCGAUACUGGCAGGCUUGAAUCCGGGAGAGGGAUGUGGAAUUCCAGGUGUAGCGGUGAAAUGCGUAGAUAUCUGGAGGAACACCGGUGGCGAAGGCGGCAUCCUGGACCGGCAUUGACGCUGAGGCGCGAAAGCCAGGGGAGCAAACGGG